RNAcentral lists this ribosomal RNA (253 nucleotides) under uncultured bacterium. RNAcentral's name for it is "partial 16S ribosomal RNA". It matches the Rfam family "Bacterial small subunit ribosomal RNA", at positions 524 to 776 of the family's 1533-position model. The record is from RNAcentral.
UACAGAGGUCUCAAGCGUUGUUCGGAUUCAUUGGGCGUAAAGGGUGCGUAGGUGGCGUCGUAAGUCAGGUGUGAAAGCCCCGGGCUCAACCUGGGAAUUGCAUUUGAGACUGCAUAGCUAGGGUGCGGAAGAGGGAAGCGGAAUUUCCGGUGUAGCGGUGAAAUGCGUAGAUAUCGGAAGGAACAUCAGUGGCGAAAGCGGCUUCCUGGUCCAGCACCGACGUUCAGGCACGAAAGCGUGGGGAGCAAACAGG